RNAcentral lists this long non-coding RNA (247 nucleotides) under Lathyrus oleraceus (garden pea). Its description in RNAcentral is "Pisum sativum (pea) long non-coding RNA (PSAT_LNC011786)". The record is from RNAcentral. Lineage: Eukaryota; Viridiplantae; Streptophyta; Magnoliopsida; Fabales; Fabaceae.
GAAUGACUUAUGAUUUUUCUAUUGAGAAGAAAAAAUAAAAAAAGGUGAACAAAACAUGUGAAACAUGGAUAACAUGAUAUGAAGAAAAUGCUAAAACCAAAAGAGAAAAUGUCUCAGCAUGGAAUCGAUCCAUGUUCAUAUUCAAAUACGUGCGCUUCAAGUGAAACGCCGCGUUUCACUAAAGGACGUGUCACGCUUCUAUUGGCUUCAUGGCUCUCAAACACAAAAAACAUGCAAAACAUGGAGG